Molecule: ribosomal RNA, 423 nt
Filed under: uncultured bacterium
Lineage: Bacteria
Description: partial 16S ribosomal RNA
Rfam family: Bacterial small subunit ribosomal RNA
Source: RNAcentral
AAUCUUCCGCAAUGGACGAAAGUCUGACGGAGCAACGCCGCGUGAGUGAUGAAGGUCUUCGGAUCGUAAAACUCUGUUGUUAGGGAAGAACAAGUAUCGUUCGAAUAGGGCGGUACCUUGACGGUACCUAACCAGAAAGCCACGGCUAACUACGUGCCAGCAGCCGCGGUAAUACGUAGGUGGCAAGCGUUAUCCGGAAUUAUUGGGCGUAAAGCGCGCGCAGGCGGUUUCUUAAGUCUGAUGUGAAAGCCCACGGCUCAACCGUGGAGGGUCAUUGGAAACUGGGAAGCUUGAGUGCAGAAGAGGAGAGUGGAAUUCCAUGUGUAGCGGUGAAAUGCGUAGAGAUGUGGAGGAAUACCGAUGGCGAAGGCAGCCCCCUGGGAUAAUACUGACGCUCAUGCACGAAAGCGUGGGGAGCAAACA